UUGGAAGUAAAAAAUCGUAACAAGGUCUCCGUAGGUGAACCUGCGGAGGGAUCAUUACACAAAUAUGAAGGCGGGCUGGAACCUCUCGGGGUUACAGCCUUGCUGAAUUAUUCACCCUUGUCUUUUGCGUACUUCUUGUUUCCUUGGUGGGUUCGCCCACCACUAGGACAAACAUAAACCUUUUGUAAUUGCAAUCAGCGUCAGUAACAAAUUAAUAAUUACAACUUUCAACAACGGAUCUCUUGGUUCUGGCAUCGAUGAAGAACGCAGCGAAAUGCGAUAAGUAGUGUGAAUUGCAGAAUUCAGUGAAUCAUCGAAUCUUUGAACGCACAUUGCGCCCUUUGGUAUUCCAAAGGGCAUGCCUGUUCGAGCGUCAUUUGUACCCUCAAGCUUUGCUUGGUGUUGGGCGUCUUGUCUCUAGCUUUGCUGGAGACUCGCCUUAAAGUAAUUGGCAGCCGGCCUACUGGUUUCGGAGCGCAGCACAAGUCGCACUCUCUAUCAGCAAAGGUCUAGCAUCCAUUAAGCCUUUUUUUCAACUUUGACCUCGAUCAGUACGA
This 557-nucleotide ribosomal RNA is filed under the name Alternaria sp. CX4. RNAcentral describes it as "eukaryotic LSU rRNA". The stretch from base 223 to 376 matches the Rfam family "5.8S ribosomal RNA". The record is from RNAcentral. Lineage: Eukaryota; Fungi; Ascomycota; Dothideomycetes; Pleosporales; Pleosporaceae.